UCGAGGAUCUUCGGCAAUGGGCGCAAGCCUGACCGAGCGACGCCGCGUGCGCGAUGAAGGCCUUCGGGUUGUAAAGCGCUGUCGAGGGGAAGAAAAGCCGCAAGGCCUGAUCGACCCCUGGAGGAAGCACGGGCUAAGUUCGUGCCAGCAGCCGCGGUAAGACGAACCGUGCGAACGUUGUUCGGAAUCACUGGGCUUAAAGGGCGCGUAGGCGGGUCGUCAAGUCCGGAGUGAAAUCCCCCAGCUUAACUGGGGAACGGCUUCGGAUACUGACGGUCUCGAGUGGGGUAGGGGCAUGUGGAACUUCCGGUGGAGCGGUGAAAUGCGUAGAUAUCGGAAGGAACGCCGGUGGCGAAAGCGACGUGCUGGACCCUUUCUGACGCUGAGGCGCGAAAGCCAGGGGAGCAAACGGGAUUAGAUACCCCCGUAGUCC
This 433-nucleotide ribosomal RNA is filed under the name uncultured bacterium. Its description in RNAcentral is "bacterial SSU rRNA". It matches the Rfam family "Bacterial small subunit ribosomal RNA", at positions 355 to 796 of the family's 1533-position model. The record is from RNAcentral.